Molecule: ribosomal RNA, 315 nt
Filed under: uncultured eukaryote
Lineage: Eukaryota
Description: partial 18S ribosomal RNA
Rfam family: Eukaryotic small subunit ribosomal RNA
Source: RNAcentral
CCCUUAGAUGUCCGGGGCUGCACGCGCGCUACACUGACGCACGCAACAGGUGCCUGCUCCGAGAGGACUGGGUAAUCAUUUGAGUGUGCGUCGUGAUGGGGAUAGAAUAUUGUAAUUAUUACUCUUCAACGAGGAAUUCCUAGUAAGCGCCAGUCAGCAGCUUGCGCUGAUUACGUCCCUGCCCUUUGUACACACCGCCCGUCGCUCCUACCGAUGGGUGAUCCGGUGAAUGAUUCGGACUUCAGCGGCUCCCCUGGGGUGCGCCGGAGAAAGUUUUGUGAACCUUAUCACUUGGAGGAAGGAGAAGUCGUAACA